CCCAAAGUGCUAGGAUUACAGUCGUGAACCACCACGCCCAGCCUACUUAUUUAUUUUGGAGACAGGGUCUCACUUUGUCACCCAGGCUGGAGUGCAUGGCAACAUCAUGACUCACUGCAGCCUUGACCUACUAGGCUCAAGGGAUCCUCCCACCUCAGCCUCCUGAGUAGGUGGGACCACAACUGGAACCAGAGGUAUGCACCACACUCAGCUAAUUCUUUAUUUUAUUCAUUAAUUUUUUUGUAGAGAUGAGGACUCACUAUAUUGCCCAGGCUGGUCUUGAACUCCUGGGCUCAGGCAAUUCUCACGCCUUAGCCUCCCAAAGUGCUGGGAUUACAGGUGUGAGCCACUGCACCCAGCCCAGGGAUUUU
Molecule: long non-coding RNA, 371 nt
Filed under: Homo sapiens (human)
Lineage: Eukaryota; Metazoa; Chordata; Mammalia; Primates; Hominidae
Description: non-protein coding lnc-ZFAND3-2:1
Source: RNAcentral